AUACGUUACGAAAGUCCCCGGACAACAGACCCAACUCCCAUCAAUAUUUUAUGUAUGUUUUAUUUGCCUAUUUAUUCUGCAGUUCAAUAAAAAUUACAUGUUGCUAUGGAAACAUGAAAAAUCACAGAUACCUGCUCUACUCAGAGCUGAGUAGUGCCUACUACCACGCAGAGGAUCAAGAGUGAGAAUCUCAGUGCUUUGGCCCUCUGAAGACUUGGGAUGUUUGAGAAAGAACAUGAGAAUCAAAAGACUCUGAUUAGAAGCCCAUCUCUGUCAGUUCCCAACUAUGUGGAUCUAAACUGCACUUGUGUACGUGCUAUGUCUGCAUAAACUCUUUCUGCAAUUCAAAUGUUGACACCCAAAAUUACAAGCCAGAAUGCUUAUGAACUCCACUAUUAUGGUACUGCACUUUUGUGCUGCUUGUUAGGUCACAAAGGGGCCUCGAUGCUUUUGGUGUUGCUGUCGGAGAUAAUUCCAUCUCUGGCACACUGUGUCUGUAGCGUCCUGGACC
This 511-nucleotide long non-coding RNA is filed under the name Vulpes vulpes (red fox). RNAcentral describes it as "lncRNA (ENSVVUG00000013965.1)". The record is from RNAcentral. Lineage: Eukaryota; Metazoa; Chordata; Mammalia; Carnivora; Canidae.